GGGGGGGGGGUGUUUUGGGUUAGCAGGAAACUAAAAUUUCCUUUAUGAUGAGGAAAAGAUGUUAAGAGGCAAAGUUUGCAAUAAAAAUAAUUGAUUAGCUAGACUGUUAUGUUUUUGUUUAAAUAGAUUGAAGAACGGAAAUUAUUUUUGUUCAUAAAAAAUCUGGCUUCUUAAAGUCGUUGCUAACUGGAACAUAACAUAGCAAUAAUGGACCACUGAAUUCCAGAGAACCUUAAAUAAAAAAUUUACAAUUGCAUUUUGCAAGUUAAGCUUAGUAAAAGCAAAGUUUCGACCGGAAAUAAAUGCAUAAGUGAAGCCUUAGUUGACUUAUUUCUUGGAUAAACAUAAUAACUGGAAUAGGAAAGGAAAUGAAGUAUGACAUUUGUGGAGUACAUAAAGAAACUAACUUCUUGAAACCUUAUUUGGAAUAUAAGAGUUCAUAUGAACAUGAAAUAUUAUUUAAAAUGACUACAAGAUACUUUACAUUUGUAAGUUGAUAAAAACAAAACUCAAACAGUGACUGCUACUACUUUCUCAUUACUUAUAGUCAAGUGAGACUAUUAACUAUCUAAAUGGGUAAGAUUGUCUUGUUUUACUUAAGAACAGUUGGAUUGGUAGAAUCAAUAUUUCAAAUCAGAAUAUUCCUUAACUGGAACAAACAUUCCAAAUUGACAAUCGCUAGGGGUAGAGGGCUUAAUGGUAUUUUUAUUUCAACUAGAACUUUUAGUAAUAAAUAACUCAUAGUUCAAUGAGAUAUGUGAUCAAAGGCUCUUUUAUGCACAUUUAAUGACAAAUGAAAACUGGUUUCGCAGAGAACCUUUUUAAAAUUAUAAUAUUUUUUUUGCAAACAUGAAGAAGUCAUAUCCUAAAUGAUAAUAAUAAAAGAAGUUCAUAGGAAAUUGCUACCGCUACUUUUUUGUUGGAAUAGAAGAGCAAGUCCCUAUCCAAUAGUUGUUCUAAACACCAAAUGCAGCUAAUGGAAUGCUUUAUUAGUUAUGAAGAAGCCAUCUAUCACCCCAAAUUUAUAAUAAAUAAGGCCAUUUCAGCCUCAAGCUAUAAAAAAAAGUUAUAAUUUUUAUUUUCCUUUUGUUCUGCAGUCAGAUAACAAGUUAGGGAACAGUUUGAGAAUUAGACCUCAUUGAUUGGAAUUGCCAUGUCUGCAAUGGAAUUCCAGAUUUCUCAUUAAUUUUUUCACCAUCUUCUCAACAAAAAUGAAGGACUAGCAUAAAUUAUGCAUAUUAACUAUCGUGCUAGCCCACAGUCUAACUGCUCAAGGUUUUAAAGUGAUUAGCUGCUUAAAAUGAUAUCAGAAUAGAAAGUAAAGCCAGUGCAGAAACUUCUGCACUGAUAUUAUGUUAAACAACCAAUUAUACCCAAAAGCUUAAAGCUACUAAAACUAGAGUGCGCUACAAUAUUC
Molecule: unclassified non-coding RNA, 1417 nt
Filed under: Hevea brasiliensis (rubber tree)
Lineage: Eukaryota; Viridiplantae; Streptophyta; Magnoliopsida; Malpighiales; Euphorbiaceae
Source: RNAcentral